ACCUCUUAAGUUCUAUGUAGAAUAUCAAAUUGCAAAUUUGAAGGAUGUAGAGGUC
RNAcentral lists this transfer RNA (55 nucleotides) under Tubulipora flabellaris. RNAcentral's name for it is "tRNA-Cys". Lineage: Eukaryota; Metazoa; Bryozoa; Stenolaemata; Tubuliporida; Tubuliporidae. The record is from RNAcentral.